AAUUACGGCACAUCCCUUGUUUCUGCAAGAGUAGAACCAUUCUAAAGUAAAAGCCCCGGCCUAUCCUAGACUUUUUGCAUUUAUCAAAAUGCAUAAGCAUCCGUUUAAACCUAGACCCAUUGUAGAGAAGAGGGAUUCCCCUACAUUUAAUCUCAAAAGAACGAUAGCUGCAUGGAGCAUGAAUAUCCUAGGGCAAAAUUGUAAUUCUGUUAACUCGACAGCUGAAGCUCUGAAUAGGCUUCGAAACAUCCCUUGGCAGCCCGACUACCUGAUGGCUGUUUUUGAUUUUGACAACCUCUACUCCUCUUUGUGGCUGGAGCC
Molecule: long non-coding RNA, 321 nt
Filed under: Androctonus crassicauda
Lineage: Eukaryota; Metazoa; Arthropoda; Arachnida; Scorpiones; Buthidae
Source: RNAcentral